This is a long non-coding RNA of Geospiza fortis (medium ground-finch), 1718 nucleotides long. The record is from Ensembl. NCBI's taxonomy places the organism in Eukaryota, Metazoa, Chordata, Aves, Passeriformes, Thraupidae.
GAUCCUACCAUGGCCACAGCUCUGCUGGAAUUCCAGAGAAUCCCACUGUGACCACAGCUCUGCUGGAAUUCCAGAGGAUCCCACCAUGAUCACAGUUGUGCUGGAAUUCCAGAGGAUCUCACCAUGAUCACAGCUCUACUGGAAUUCCAGAGGAUCCCACUGUGACCACAGCUGUGCUGGAAUUCCAGAGGAUCCCACCAUGAUCACAGUUGUGCUGCAAAAGCUUCUGGAGGAACCCUCCAUGAACACAGCCACCCUUCCUGGGUACAGCCACCCCUCCUGGGUCACAGCCACCCUUCCUGGGCCCAGCCACCCUUCCUGGGCACAGCCACUCCUCCUGGGCCCAGCCACCCUUCCUGGGGUGCUCCACGGCCCGGGGAUGAGGACACCCUCACACCCUCAGCUCCAGAGUUGUUUCCCACACCCUGGGUGAGAACAGAGGCCAGAGAAGGUCUCUGGUUCAUCCCUUUGAGGCUCCACGAGCUGCUGAUCCACUGAAGGGGAACUGGGACUGCUGGAAAACAAGGAGGGGAGGAAAUUCUAUUCCUGCAGCCCCCCAAGCUUCCCCUCAUUCUGAGUCUGUGCUUCCUGACCCCAACUCCCAGAUGCUUUCCAGGAAAUUAAAUAACAAACCAGCUCUCCCAACCACAGAAUCAGGGAAUCCCAGACUGGUUUGGGCUGGAAGGGACUUUAAAGCUCACCCAGUGCCAUGGCAGGGCCACCUUCCACUGUUCCAGGCUGCUCCAAGCCUCCCCAGCCUGGCCUUGCCAGGGCUGGGGUGGUUUCCCAGGGCUGGCAUGGUUUCCCAGGGCUGGCAUGGUUCCCCAGGGCCAGCUCGCUCUGGGGGAUGCCCUGGGACACCCCUGGCUGUGGGGGCACCUGUGGGCAGCCCUGAGCCCACAGCAUGGAAGGGACUCCUCCAACACUUUCCCCUGCUCCCUCCUGCCAGGCUGGGCACAGCCUGGGCCUGGCUGCUGCCAGGCGAGGGAGCUCAGUCCUCGGAGCAAGCUACAGCCUGGGCUGGGGGAGAAGGGACAAAGGUCCUGGAGGGACAGAACAGGGUGCUAUGGGGCACAGAACAGGUGUUAUGGGGCACGGAACAGGGUGCUAUGGGGAACAGGUGCUAUGGGGCACAGAACAGGUGUUAUGGGGCACAGGUGUUAUGGGGCACAGAACAGGUGCUAUGGGGCACAGAACAGGGUGCUAUGGGGAACAGGUGUUAUGGGGCACAGAACAGGGUGCUAUGGGGAACAGGUGCUAUGGGGCACAGAACAGGUGUUAUGGGGCACAGGUGUUAUGGGGCACAGAACAGGUGCUAUGGGGCACAGAACAGGGUGCUAUGGGGAACAGGUGUUAUGGGGCACAGAACAGGUGCUAUGGGGCACAGAACAGGGUGCUAUGGGGCACAGGUGUUAUGGGGCACAGAACAGGUGUUAUGGGGCACAGAUGGAAAGGGAAGGGAGGAGCACAGGGCUAUGAUGGAGAGCUCGAGGCAGGGCAAUGUUAGAUGGAAGGGGAAAGGAUCCCCUGGGCAGUGCAGGGAUGUGUCAGGCCAGCUGGGAAGGGCAGUGGAUGGCCCAGCACAGCCACGUGUGGAUGGGACAUGGCUGCUGAGGGACCUGCCUGGCUCUGAGCUCAGCACAGGUCCUGCUUCCCCCUGGAUGUCCCCAUUCCAGGCCUGUGCUUUGCUCCCUCGCCCUCCCUCACCCCUGUCCUGA